Molecule: long non-coding RNA, 1304 nt
Organism: Triticum aestivum (bread wheat)
Lineage: Eukaryota; Viridiplantae; Streptophyta; Magnoliopsida; Poales; Poaceae
Exons: 2
Source: RefSeq, a predicted model, not a curated record
UCUUAACACAGUAGAUUACAGUGAAUAAUGCUUGAGUUUACAGUGCCAUAGCAACUUCCAAUUUAGGAUUAUGUUCUAAGGAUAUGCUCGAUGAAAUUUCAAGUGUUUGAGAUGAUCAGAUUGUGCUUACACGAUGCAAAUUUUAUUAGUUUGGAUAUGGAAUCAUUUUGUGCCUAUUAGCUUCAUUUUAGAGUGCAAGUCUACUUCUCCUCAUAAAAUGCUACUACCUAUUUUGUGCAUUAUGCUUGCUAAUGUUAUUUUAGGUUCGUUGUUGAUCUUGAUCUGAUAAAUGAUUAAAUGAUAAAACUGAAUCUAUAGCUUUUCCUCUCACUAAUAACCCACAUUUUCUUCUCCAUCGUUCUAUAUAUGAUAGGAUACAUCAACAGUACCAAAGCACUUGACUACAUAACACAAAGCCUUUUAUGAUGCUAUUAAUGGUCUACUUAUGAUGAUUUCUGUUAGCUCCAUAUAUAAUGGGAUGUCUUACAGACCGCAGAGUAAAGUUGGGGCUUCUUUGUACUCUUCUUUUCUUGCUUGGUUGCACUUGAGCAUGUUGAUUGUAUUCCAGUUCAUUGAGAAAAAAUGAUACAGUUUGAAUGAAAUUGGGGCCUUUGGUGUACAUAUCAAGACGUUUGCUUCCUAUUAUAUAUUCUGCUCGAUAACUUAUUUGAAGCAACUUCAGUUUAUAUGUAUUAAAAUGCACAAGAAGUCCUAUCGUAUUAAAUUAAAGCAAUGCACACAGAUUACUGCUAAAACUUGGUAUUGCCAAAAGUCAAAACAGUACCCACAUUCAUCCAAUUUAUGAGUAUUAAAAUUAGGAUAUGAUUCAGUGUUAAGCAGGACAAAGAUGGACCAUGCGACCAUCAGUUAAUGCUGGUUCCAAAUCCGCCUCUUAGAGGUAGUUCUUCAGCUAAUUUUUUUUGUUCAGCCGAGGGGAGAGCCGCUGGACAGAGAUCCCACUGAAUGUAGAAGGAAUUGACGUAGUUCAGGCUAAUCAAACGUGAGGCCAGGCUCAUCAAUUUAGCACCAUCUUCAUACAGAAGGAGAGCAAGCACAAAAGAAGCUACAAAACUGAAUGACGUCUUAAUCCCCCGGCGCAGCAAAGCGCGCGUCAGCUUCUAGUUCUCAGUUUAUAUCUGAAAAAUUUCCAGUAGCGUUCCAUAUCUUGGUGACGUGUGUGUCUCAUCUUACAGCACAGAGCAGACUAGCCCAUGCAAGUUGAAGAACAAAGCUCCUUAGGCAGAUUUUUAGCCUGUUUUCUAGGCAGCAUAUAUCCAGUCAUUGCAUCGAUGGCUGUUUGUUUA